ACAUCAAAACGAUAUAAAUACAUAAAAAAUAAGUUCAAACAAAAUUAAAAUUAAAAUUUUUAGUAAACACCAUUUCACCCGCAUUCCCCAACACACAAUACCUAUCCUAACUUAUCGGAGAGGAUCCAUCAUCACAGCAGCAUAUUCAACAAAUUCAGAUGGAAAGAAGUAAAUCAACGUCCAAAUCACAGGAUACUGGUACCGAUGCAUCAUCCAACUUCCAGGAAUCUUCGUUUUGUCUGCCUAAAACACAGUAAACAGCCAUAUUCUUUUUCAAAAUCAUCCUCUUUUUUCAUACAAGACGCACGCACAGCGAGCAUUGAAGGGAAAACGUUGGCAGCACAAACAACUGGUGUGUUUCACGUUGACAAUAGAAACAACAGAUUUGCAGAACUCAAUGAUGAUUGUGCAGAAAAGAAGAAGAAAAGACGAUAAAGAUCGAUCAACUCCUGUCAAAUCCAUAAAAAAACAACAAGAAUCCACCAUUGUAUCUACUCGACUCUUUCCAGGAACGUUCUUCGAUUGAAAAUCUUUGAACCCAACAGACAAG
Molecule: long non-coding RNA, 550 nt
Filed under: Populus trichocarpa (black cottonwood)
Lineage: Eukaryota; Viridiplantae; Streptophyta; Magnoliopsida; Malpighiales; Salicaceae
Description: long non-coding RNA (PTRI_LNC002909)
Source: RNAcentral